Bos taurus (domestic cattle) is the source of this 756-nucleotide long non-coding RNA. The record is from Ensembl. NCBI's taxonomy places the organism in Eukaryota, Metazoa, Chordata, Mammalia, Artiodactyla, Bovidae.
GAACAGUAAAUGCUGAGUGAGGUGUAUUUUUGGUUUUUGUUGUUGUUAUUUUUAUCCUGAAGCUCCAAUAAUGUACCAAAUAGAAGACUCAUAAUAUGUACAGAAUCUCUGGAGAACAGGCCCUGACAACAUACUUUGGAAAGCUCUUCAGGUGAUUCUGCACCAUAGCCAAGGAUAUGAACCACUGAUGGAAAAGCCUGAGACUACAUGAACACUCAGUAAAGAAGCUGAUGGCAGCUGGAUUAGUGAUGUGCCCAUCUCACUUUCUCUCAGAUGUGUCCAGCUCUUCGUGAUCCCAUGGACUGCAGCCUGCCAGGCUACUCUGUCCAUGCAAUUCUUCAGGCGAGAAUACGGGAGUGGGUUGCCAUGACCUCCUCCAGGGGAUCUUCCCAACCCAAGGAUCGAACCUGCAUCUCUGGCAUCUCCUGUAUUGGCAGCAACAUGGAUGGAUGUAGAAGCUGUCAUACUGAGUGAAGUACGUCAGACACAGAAAGACAAGUGUCGUAUGAUACCACUUAUCUGUGUAAUCUAAAACAAAGGAUACAAACAAACUUAUUUACAGAGCAGAAGGAGAGUCACAGAUGUAGGAAACAAAGUUUUGGUUACUACAAGCUAAAGAAAACAGAAGAUCGAGACAGGCUAAGUGAAGAUCACAAAGCCAGUCAAUGUGGAGCUGAAUCUGAGACUGAGGACUUCUAAUGCUUGGUUCAAAGAGCAAGCAGGAGAUAAAAUAGUAGCGUACUGGAUUCAUUAAAU